This 1439-nucleotide ribosomal RNA is filed under the name Lactobacillus delbrueckii. Its description in RNAcentral is "bacterial SSU rRNA". It matches the Rfam family "Bacterial small subunit ribosomal RNA". The record is from RNAcentral. Lineage: Bacteria; Bacillati; Bacillota; Bacilli; Lactobacillales; Lactobacillaceae.
AGUCGAGCGAGCUGAAUUCAAAGAUCCCUUCGGGGUGAUUUGUUGGACGCUAGCGGCGGAUGGGUGAGUAACACGUGGGCAAUCUGCCCUAAAGACUGGGAUACCACUUGGAAACAGGUGCUAAUACCGGAUAACAACAUGAAUCGCAUGAUUCAAGUUUGAAAGGCGGCGCAAGCUGUCACUUUAGGAUGAGCCCGCGGCGCAUUAGCUAGUUGGUGGGGUAAAGGCCUACCAAGGCAAUGAUGCGUAGCCGAGUUGAGAGACUGAUCGGCCACAUUGGGACUGAGACACGGCCCAAACUCCUACGGGAGGCAGCAGUAGGGAAUCUUCCACAAUGGACGCAAGUCUGAUGGAGCAACGCCGCGUGAGUGAAGAAGGUUUUCGGAUCGUAAAGCUCUGUUGUUGGUGAAGAAGGAUAGAGGCAGUAACUGGUCUUUAUUUGACGGUAAUCAACCAGAAAGUCACGGCUAACUACGUGCCAGCAGCCGCGGUAAUACGUAGGUGGCAAGCGUUGUCCGGAUUUAUUGGGCGUAAAGCGAGCGCAGGCGGAAUGAUAAGUCUGAUGUGAAAGCCCACGGCUCAACCGUGGAACUGCAUCGGAAACUGUCAUUCUUGAGUGCAGAAGAGGAGAGUGGAACUCCAUGUGUAGCGGUGGAAUGCGUAGAUAUAUGGAAGAACACCAGUGGCGAAGGCGGCUCUCUGGUCUGCAACUGACGCUGAGGCUCGAAAGCAUGGGUAGCGAACAGGAUUAGAUACCCUGGUAGUCCAUGCCGUAAACGAUGAGCGCUAGGUGUUGGGGACUUUCCGGUCCUCAGUGCCGCAGCAAACGCAUUAAGCGCUCCGCCUGGGGAGUACGACCGCAAGGUUGAAACUCAAAGGAAUUGACGGGGGCCCGCCCAAGCGGUGGACCAUGUGGUUUAAUUGGAAGCAACGGGAGGACCCUUACCAGUUCUGGCCUUCUUGCGUUCCACUUAGAGAUAGGUGGUUCCUUUGGGGGAGGCAGAGCCAGGUGGUCCAUGGCGUUGUUCAGUUCGUUUCGUGAGAUGUUGGGUUAAUUCCCGCAACGAGCCCAACCUUUUUCUUUAGUUGCCUUCAUUAAGUUGGCCAUUCUGGAGAGACUGCCGGGGCCAAACCGGAGGAAGGUGGGGAGGACGCCAAUUCUCCAUCCCCCUUAUGCCUUGGGUUCCCCACGUGUUCCAAUGGCCAGUCCAAGGGGAAGGGAACCCGGGAGGUUAAGGGGAUUUUUUAAAGUUGUUUUCAGUUCGGAUUCCAGGUUGCAAUUCCCUUCCAGGAAGCGGGAAUCGUUGUUAAUCGGGGAUCACCACGCCGCGGUGAAUACGUUCCCGGCCCUGGUCCCCACCGCCCGUCCCCCCAGGAAUUCUCCAAUGCCCAAAGUCGGGGGAUACCCUAUAGGAGUCAGCCGCGUACGUCCGUCAUCU